CCUGAUCAAUAUAGGAGGUCCAGCCUGCCCAGUGACUCUGUUCAACGGCCGCGGUAUCCUAACCGUGCGAAGGUAGCGUAAUCACUUGUUCUUUAAAUGAGGACUAGUAUGAAUGGCAUCACGAGGGUUAUACUGUCUCCUUUUCCAAAUCAGUGAAACUAAUCCCCCCGUGAAGAAGCGGGGAUAAAAAUAUAAGACGAGAAGACCCUAUGGAGCUUAAAACUUUCAACAAUUAUAUUUUCCUCAUAAACCUAAAGGUAAUUAAAUCAAUCUUUAUAAUAUGUUUGUUAGUUUUCGGUUGGGGUGACCGCGGAGUAAAACUUAUCCUCCAUAUUGAAUUAAAUAUUCUUCUUAGCAAAAAACUACAAUUUUAUGCAUCAAAAAAUUGACAUUAUUGACCCAAUAUUUUGAUCAACGAAC
Molecule: ribosomal RNA, 420 nt
Filed under: Callimedusa tomopterna group sp. ABGD cluster 28
Lineage: Eukaryota; Metazoa; Chordata; Amphibia; Anura; Hylidae
Description: partial large subunit ribosomal RNA
Rfam family: Bacterial large subunit ribosomal RNA
Source: RNAcentral